AGAGCAUAGGGUGAAUGCCUUGGCACCAGAAGCCGAUGAAGGACGUGGUAAGCGACGAUAUGCCUCGGGGAGCUGCAAACAAGCUUCGAUCCGGGGAUUUCCGAAUGGGGAAACCUGCCUAGAUAAACUCUAGGUAUCAUCUACUGAAUACAUAGGUAGGUGAGGGAACACCAGGAGAACUGAAACAUCUAAGUAUCCUGAGGAAAAGAAAGAAAAAUCGAUUCUCCAAGUAGCGGCGAGCGAACGGGGAACAGCCCAAACCAGGUAUUCAACUGAACUUUGUUCAGUUGGAAAUUGUAAAUUAUGAAUUGUGAAUUUUAAAUUAAAAGAUGUUAAAGCAAUCAAGUAAAUAACACUUUAAUUCACAAUUUAAAAUUUAACAUUUUAAAUUUUCAACUCAGCAAGGCUGAGUUGAAUACCUGGGGUUGCGGACUGGCACAACUUAAGUCAAUCUUGUAGUCGAAGGACCUGGAAAGGUCUACCAUAGAAGGUGAUAGUCCUGUAGGCGAAACAAGAUAACUUAAAGCCAUGAUCCAGAGUACCAUGGGACACGUGAAAUCCUGUGGGAAGCAGGGGGGACCACCCCCCAAGGCUAAAUACUAUCUGGUGACCGAUAGUGAAGAAGUACCGUGAGGGAAAGGUGAAAAGAACCCCGGGAGGGGAGUGAAAUAGAAUCUGAAACCCUAUGUUUACAAGCAGUGGAAGCACUUUAUAUGUGCGACCGCGUACUUUUUGUAGAACGGGCCAGCGAGUUACGAUAUGCAGCAAGGUUAAGCUGUUAAGCAGCGAAGCCGUAGGGAAACCAAGUCUAAAUAGGGCGUUUAGUUGCAUAUCGUAGACCCGAAACCGGGUGACCUACCCAUGGGCAGAGUGAAACGAAAGUAAAAUUUCGUGGAGGCUCGAACCGUUUAGCGUUGAAAAGCUAUCGGAUGACCUGUGGGUAGCGGUGAAAUUCCAAUCGAACCCGGAGAUAGCUGGUUCUCCUCGAAAUAGCUUUAGGGCUAGCCUCAAGAAUAGUGACGUGGGGGUAGAGCACUGAAUGGUCUAGGGGCACAUAGUGUUACCAAAACCUAUCAAACUCCGAAUACCAUAGUCAUGUUUCUUGGGAGUCAGACUGCGGGAGAUAAGUUUCGUAGUCAAAAGGGAAACAGCCCAGAUCACCAGCUAAGGUCCCUAAGUACAGGUUAAGUGGGAAAGGAUGUAAGGUUACACAGACAACCAGGAUGUUGGCUUAGAAGCAGCCACUCAUUCAAAGAGUGCGUAAUAGCUCACUGGUCGAGUGACCUUGCGCCGAAGAUUACCGGGGCUAAAACCUGUCACCGAAGCUGUGGGAUGCAUUUGCAUCGGUAGAGGAGCAUUCUGUACGGGCUGAAGCUACACCGUAAGGAGUGGUGGACUGUACAGAAGAGAGAAUGCUGGCAUGAGUAGCGAUAAGGUAAGUGAGAAUCUUACCCGUCGAAAGCCUAAGGUUUCCUGAGGAAGGCUCGUCCGCUCAGGGUUAGUCGGGACCUAAGCCCAGGCCAAAUGGCGUAGGCGAUGGACAACAGGUUGAUAUUCCUGUACUACCUAUAUGCGUUUGAGAGAUGGGGUGACGCAGGAGGAUAAGCUGAGCGCACCGUUGGUUGUGUGCGCCCAAACUAGUAGGAAGCUCCUAUAGGCAAAUCCGUAGGAGAGUUCCGAGAAGUGAUGGGGAGCGAAAAAUAAGUAGUGAAGCAGCUGAUUCCACACUGCCAAGAAAAGCCUCUAUCGAGUAUAUUAGGUACCCGUACCGCAAACCAACACAGGUAGGCGAGGAGAAAAUCCUAAGACGUUCGGAAGAACUCUUGUUAAGGAACUCGGCAAAAUAGCCCCGUAACUUCGGGAGAAGGGGUGCCGGUUAAAGUGAAGUACUUGCUACGUAAGCUUUGACUGGUCGCAGUGAAUGGGCCCAAGCGACUGUUUACCAAAAACACAGGUCUCUGCUAAGUCGAAAGACGAUGUAUAGGGGCUGACACCUGCCCGGUGCUGGAAGGUUAAGGGGAAGGGUUAGCUGUAAAGCGAAGCUCCGAACUUAAGCCCCAGUAAACGGCGGCCGUAACUAUAACGGUCCUAAGGUAGCGAAAUUCCUUGUCGGGUAAGUUCCGACCCGCACGAAAGGCGUAACGACUUGGGCACUGUCUCAACAAGAGAUCCGGUGAAAUUGUAGUACUCGUGAAGAUGCGAGUUACCCGCGACAGGACGGAAAGACCCCGUGGAGCUUUACUGUAGGCUGACAUUGGAUUUUGGUAUUGCCUGUACAGGAUAGGUGGGAGACUGAGAAACCAGAGCGCCAGCUUUGGUGGAGUCGUCCUUUGGAUACCACUCUUGCAAUGCUGAAAUUCUAACCAGAGACUGUGAAUCCAGUCUUGGGACACUGUCAGUUGGGCAGUUUGACUGGGGCGGUCGCCUCCCAAAGAGUAACGGAGGCGCUCAAAGGUUCCCUCAGCACGGUCGGAAAUCGUGCGAAGAGUGUAAAGGCAUAAGGGAGCUUGACUGCGACACCUACAAGUGGAGCAGGAACGAAAGUUGGACUUAGUGAUCCGGUGGCACCGAGUGGAAGGGCCAUCGCUCAACGGAUAAAAGCUACCCCGGGGAUAACAGGCUUAUCUCCCCCAAGAGUCCACAUCGACGGGGAGGUUUGGCACCUCGAUGUCGGCUCGUCUCAUCCUGGGGCUGGAGUAGGUCCCAAGGGUUGGGCUGUUCGCCCAUUAAAGAGGCACGCGAGCUGGGUUCAGAACGUCGUGAGACAGUUCGGUCCCUAUCCGUCGUGGGCGUAGGAAAUUUGAGAGGAGCUGUCCCUAGUACGAGAGGACCGGGAUGGACAGACCGCUGGUGCAUCAGUUGUCUCGCCAGAGGCACAGCUGAGUAGCUAUGUCUGGAAGGAAUAAGUGCUGAAGGCAUCUAAGCACGAAGUCUCCCUCAAGAUGAGAUUUCCCACUUUUU
This 2961-nucleotide ribosomal RNA is filed under the name Anaerosalibacter sp. Marseille-P3206. Its description in RNAcentral is "bacterial LSU rRNA". It matches the Rfam family "Bacterial large subunit ribosomal RNA". The record is from RNAcentral. Lineage: Bacteria; Bacillati; Bacillota; Tissierellia; Tissierellales; Sporanaerobacteraceae.